RNAcentral lists this long non-coding RNA (209 nucleotides) under Amborella trichopoda. RNAcentral's name for it is "long non-coding RNA (ATRI_LNC001883)". Lineage: Eukaryota; Viridiplantae; Streptophyta; Magnoliopsida; Amborellales; Amborellaceae. The record is from RNAcentral.
UCGUUGUUUCAUGCAUAGUUGAGCCCUCUUACUCUCUCAACUGUUUCAUACAUGGUGAGCAUCUCCCUCCCUCUCUCUCUCUCACAAUGUGGUUAAACAAGCGUUGUUUCAUGAAUAGGUGAGCCAUCUCUCUCUCUCAACAAGUGUUGUUUCAUUCGGGUGCAAAACACUCGAAUUCUUGUCCAUGACAAACUAUAGUGUCACUGAAG